This is an RNA transcript of Humulus lupulus (European hop), 2156 nucleotides long. It is a transcript of the gene named protein NPGR2-like, with no coding region annotated. Lineage: Eukaryota; Viridiplantae; Streptophyta; Magnoliopsida; Rosales; Cannabaceae. The transcript has 8 exons. The record is from RefSeq and is a predicted model, not a curated record.
UCUAUCUUCCCCGAAGCUCUUCCCUCUUUCCCUCUAUCUUCCUUCUUCCUUCUUUUCCCUCUAUCUUUCCUUCUUCCUUCUUUUCCCUCUAUCUUCCCCGAGCUCUAUCUUCCCUUUUUCCCCCUCUUUUCCCUCUAUCUUCCCCAAAGCUCUCUUCUCCGAAGCCCUCUUUCUCUCUCUCACUAUUGUGUCACUACAACAAAUCCCCAUUUCAAUAACACAUCAUUAUAAUAUAUUUAAAAAAGUAUUAUAGUACAUAUAUAUAUAUAAAGUAAAUCAGUAACGCGGCAAAGUGAAAAAAAAAAAAAGCGGCAAAGUGUAAAGUGACUCCACUUUUCAUCUCUUUCUCUCUCUCUCAUUUUCCUUCGUGCUAUACCCAUUUUCCCGUCCCAUUUUCCUUCGUGCUAUACCCAUUUUCCCGUCCCAUUUUCCUUUCUCUUCCUGCUAUACCCAUUUUCCCGUCCCUGGAAAACAAGUAAAGACUCAACCUUAUCUCUAUUUUCCCGUCCCCAUUUUCCUUUCUUGUUGCGCCAUGGGUAGCUCGAAAACACGGUAAAGAUAGCAUUGGGGUUUGGUUGAGCCAUUGCACAUGAAUAUGAAACCACAUUUUUCUUCUUCUUCUUCUUCUUCUUGUGAUUUUUCAUUUUCUUUCUCAUUUUCUUGGGGAGAAGAGUUCCCAAAUCAAAUCCUUGACAUCCCUUUUGUAUAGUAGUCUUUCAUUCAUCCCGCAUGGACGAGGGAUUUGGGGUUCAAUUUUAGUUUGUGAAUUGGUGCUGCCAUUCUCUUCUCUCUCCAACCACAAUUACAGCACUCAAAUCGGUGAUUCAGCGACACAUUUGGUCGCCUUGAGGAUAUGAAGUCGACAGAGUUGGGCUUUCUCCUUGCUUAUGCUGUUGCUUUCUAUGCCUUCAUCAUUCGUAGAUCUCUUCAACUUUCUCGCGGUAAAACCCCCAAACCAUUUAUAAUACGAUUGUUUUAUGUUAGAUUUAAUUCUUUAAGUGCGUGUUACUAGCGAUUCAGUUAUUCUCCUGAGAACACGAUGAGUCGAGGGUUUUCCGUUCAUCAAUUCAGUUCUCCUCCUUCGUUCGUCGAAGUAGAAUCUGUCGUUCUCGAGAAGAAAUGGUGACGGUGACAGUGACCCAAAUCCUGAGGUCCGGUUAUCUUGAAUGUACGGUUUCACAAUUGGGUACCUUUAACAAGAGGAAAAGCCCUUGAUUCUGUAGCAAACUUUCACUUGCAGAAUGGAGCAUUCAUGUUUUAAGGCAUCAGUGGGCAUAUUCCUGUGAGAAGGCCAAAGUAGAGUUGGAUUACAACUCCAGAAGCUUGAAAGAAGGGCUGGAAGAGGUUCUGCCAUAUGUACGAAGCAUUGAUAAUGUUUUCCUCUCUCAACCUGUUAUACUGAAGUCCCAAGAUCAGAAUCAGAAGGUUGGGGAUCGAAUUGGCAAGGAGCAUUGCAAAGUUAAUUUGCAAGAGAGCUCUACUAGGAAGACUUGAGUAUCAAAAGGGUAACAUAGAAGCUGCACUUCAUGUAUUUGAAGGAAUAGACAUUGCUGCAGUGACUCCUCGGAUGAAAGGAUCCAUUUCUAGAAGAUGUGAACAAAAUAGACGCCGUUCACAGAGUGAUUCUGUCCCACCUAUGUCCAUGCAUGCUGUUAGUCUGCUCCUUGAAGCUGUUCUUCUCAAAGCAAAAUCAUUGCAAGGCCUUGGAUGAUAUGAAGAAGUUGCUAAAUCGUGCAAAGUUAUUUUGGACACUGUAGAAUCUGCUCUGCCAGAUGGCUUGCCUGAAAACUUCACUUCAGAUUGUAAAUUACAAGAUACUCUAUCUAGGGCUAUUGAAUCACUACCAGAGUUUUGGAGUUCAGCCAUCAGAAUAAUUUGUGGGUUUUUCACCAGGAAUAUAUGUGAGAAACUGUGAAACUAUAUUUAACAGUUGGAAUGGGAAAUGGAGAGAACGAGCCAAAGCAAGAGUGAGAGUUGGAGGAUGUUAUAGUAAACAAUACUCUCUAAAUUUCUUGUUAUAGUAAUUUUUCAAUAUGUUGAAUAUUUAAGAAUACUUGAAUACUUAAAAGAACAUUUUGUUGUUGAUGACAGUGUUGAAUAUUUUAAACUAAUUUGUGGAUUGUUAAUACAAUAUUGAAUGUUUUUACUUUUUGUUA